This 464-nucleotide ribosomal RNA is filed under the name uncultured Ignavibacteriaceae bacterium. RNAcentral's name for it is "bacterial SSU rRNA". It matches the Rfam family "Bacterial small subunit ribosomal RNA", at positions 335 to 797 of the family's 1533-position model. Lineage: Bacteria; Pseudomonadati; Ignavibacteriota; Ignavibacteria; Ignavibacteriales; Ignavibacteriaceae. The record is from RNAcentral.
CACCUACGGGAGGCUGCAGUGAGGAAUAUUGGGCAAUGCCCGCAAGGGUGACCCAGCAACGCCGCGUGGAGGAUGAAGGUCGUAAGAUUGUAAACUCCUGUUAGAGGGGACGAAUAAUCUCGAUAGAAUCGAGACUUGACUGUACCCUCAGAGAAAGCCCCGGCUAACUACGUGCCAGCAGCCGCGGUAAUACGUAGGGGGCAAGCGUUGUCCGGAUUCACUGGGUGUAAAGGGCGCGCAGGCGGGUUAGCAAGUCAGAGGUGAAAUCCUACAGCUUAACUGUAGAACUGCCUUUGAAACUGUUAAUCUUGAGUGCGGAAGAGAGAGACGGAAUUCCAGGUGUAGCGGUGAAAUGCGUAGAUAUCUGGAAGAACACCAGUUGCGAAGGCGGUCUCUUGGUCCGUAACUGACGCUCAGGCGCGAAAGCGUGGGGAGCAAACAGGAUUAGAUACCCCAGUAGUCAA